RNAcentral lists this ribosomal RNA (253 nucleotides) under uncultured bacterium. Its description in RNAcentral is "partial 16S ribosomal RNA". It matches the Rfam family "Bacterial small subunit ribosomal RNA", at positions 524 to 776 of the family's 1533-position model. The record is from RNAcentral.
UACGUAGGGUGCAAGCGUUAAUCGGAAUUACUGGGCGUAAAGGGCGCGUAGGCGGCCAACUAAGUCAGACGUGAAAUCCCCAGGCUCAACCUGGGAACUGCGUCUGAUACUGGAUGGCUCGAGUUCGGGAGAGGGAAGCGGAAUUCCAGGUGUAGCGGUGAAAUGCGUAGAUAUCUGGAGGAACACCGGUGGCGAAGGCGGCUUCCUGGACCGACACUGACGCUGAGGCGCGAAAGCUAGGGGAGCAAACGGG